RNAcentral lists this ribosomal RNA (1437 nucleotides) under uncultured bacterium. Its description in RNAcentral is "16S ribosomal RNA". It matches the Rfam family "Bacterial small subunit ribosomal RNA". The record is from RNAcentral.
CAGGCUUAACACAUGCAAGUCGAGGGGCAGCAUGGUCUUAUCUUGCUAAGGCCGAUGGCGACCGGCGCACGGGUGAGUAACACGUAUCCAACCUGCCGUCUACUCUUGGACAGCCUUCUGAAAGGAAGAUUAAUACAAGAUGGCAUCAUGAGUCCGCAUGUUCACAUGAUUAAAGGUAUUCCGGUAGACGAUGGGGAUGCGUUCCAUUAGAUAGUAGGCGGGGUAACGGCCCACCUAGUCUUCGAUGGAUAGGGGUUCUGAGAGGAAGGUCCCCCACAUUGGAACUGAGACACGGUCCAAACUCCUACGGGAGGCAGCAGUGAGGAAUAUUGGUCAAUGGGCGAGAGCCUGAACCAGCCAAGUAGCGUGAAGGAUGACUGCCCUAUGGGUUGUAAACUUCUUUUAUGAAGGAAUAAAGUCGGGUAUGGAUACCCGUUUGCAUGUACUUUAUGAAUAAGGAUCGGCUAACUCCGUGCCAGCAGCCGCGGUAAUACGGAGGAUCCGAGCGUUAUCCGGAUUUAUUGGGUUUAAAGGGAGCGUAGAUGGAUGUUUAAGUCAGUUGUGAAAGUUUGCGGCUCAACCGUAAAAUUGCAGUUGAUACUGGAUAUCUUGAGUGCAGUUGAGGCAGGCGGAAUUCGUGGUGUAGCGGUGAAAUGCUUAGAUAUCACGAAGAACUCCGAUUGCGAAGGCAGCCUGCUAAGCUGCAACUGACAUUGAGGCUCGAAAGUGUGGGUAUCAAACAGGAUUAGAUACCCUGGUAGUCCACACGGUAAACGAUGAAUACUCGCUGUUUGCGAUAUACUGCAAGCGGCCAAGCGAAAGCGUUAAGUAUUCCACCUGGGGAGUACGCCGGCAACGGUGAAACUCAAAGGAAUUGACGGGGGCCCGCACAAGCGGAGGAACAUGUGGUUUAAUUCGAUGAUACGCGAGGAACCUUACCCGGGCUUAAAUUGCAGAUGAAUUACGGUGAAAGCCGUAAGCCGCAAGGCAUCUGUGAAGGUGCUGCAUGGUUGUCGUCAGCUCGUGCCGUGAGGUGUCGGCUUAAGUGCCAUAACGAGCGCAACCCUUGUUGUCAGUUACUAACAGGUUCCGCUGAGGACUCUGACAAGACUGCCAUCGUAAGAUGUGAGGAAGGUGGGGAUGACGUCAAAUCAGCACGGCCCUUACGUCCGGGGCUACACACGUGUUACAAUGGGGGGUACAGAGGGCCGCUACCACGCGAGUGGAUGCCAAUCCCCAAAACCUCUCUCAGUUCGGACUGGAGUCUGCAACCCGACUCCACGAAGCUGGAUUCGCUAGUAAUCGCGCAUCAGCCACGGCGCGGUGAAUACGUUCCCGGGCCUUGUACACACCGCCCGUCAAGCCAUGGGAGCCGGGGGUACCUGAAGUGCGUAACCGCGAGGAGCGCCCUAGGGUAAAACUGGUGACUGGGGCUAA